UUUUUCUUUGAAGUUUUCGUAAGUAGUAAUCUAAUUUGGAUUUGUAGAUAGUUAGGGUUUUCAAACUUUUUGAGUUUCAAGGUUUGAAAGUUAGCCUCCUGAGGUUCCGUCUAUUUCAGAAAGAAUUUCAAGAGUUUGAUACCUGAACUUCAAGAUGCCGGCUACAGCGGGUAGGGUUCGCAUGCCUGCAAACAAUCGGGUGCAUAGUAGUGCAGCCCUCCAAACCCACGGUAUAUGGCAGAGUGCAAUUGGGUAUGACCCCUAUGCACCCAAUAAGGAUGAUGCUAAGAACUCUUCAAUGCCCAGUGCAUCUAACGCUGAACCAGAUGCUGAGAAUGCCUAUGCAAGCUUCCAAGGCCUCCUUGCACUUGCCCGUAUAACUGGGUCAAAUGCCAAUGAGGUUCGCGGGGUGUGCAAGAAGUGUGGCCGUGUUGGACACCUCACGUUUCAGUGCAGGAACUUUUUGAGUGUUAAGGGCGAUAGUAAGGAUAAAGACCCCGAAGUGAUUGAGGCUGCUGCAAUGGCUGAGUUGGAGAAGUUGACGGGGAAUGCAGGUAAGGGGAAAGGAAAAGGCGCAGUUGAGAGUUCAGAUGAGAGUGAGAGUGAGAGUGAGGGUUCGGAGUCAGAAGUCGAUUCAGAGAUUGAGAGGAUUAUUGCAGAGAGAAAUGGGAAAAAGCUCAGUAGUAAGGAAAGGUCAACAAAAAAGGGAUUAGAUGAAGAUGAGUCGAAUGGGGCUUCUAGGGAGAGGAAGAGGAGAGGAAGAUCUAAGAAGAGGAGUGGGAAGAGAGGAAUCAGUGAUUCAGAUGAUUCAGAUAGUGGUAGGAAGAGGAGAAAGAAGGACAGGCGGAGGGAUAGGGAUGAGUCCUCAGAUGAGGAUUAUGAGCGUCGUCGACGGCACAGGAAAAGUAGAAAGGAGAAGAGGAGGAGGAGAAGCCACCGAGAUUCGGAUUCUGAUUCAUAUGAAUCUGAGGGUUCUGCUGGAGAGCUUAAGCGCAAGAGCAGGAGGGCAGCUUCACCAUCUGAUUCUGAUGCCUCAGAUGAUUCAAGGGUCAGAAGGAGCAAGAAGAGAUAUGAGAAGAAGAACAGGAAACACAGGCAUGAUGACGAUGUUUAGAAUUCAUUUAGUGAAAGGAUAAUGGAUAUGGUGAUCUCCCAUAAAGUUUCCAAACCAGUGAUGGAACCCAAAUGGUGGACAAACCAAAUUCGUACCUGCUUAUGGUAAAAGGCCCCAGCAAAAAAGAACAGGAAAAGAAAAUACUGCAAGGUUGGAGGUGGUUAUUUCGCAUGGACAUACGGUAAAAAGUAGAUUUUGGUGAGCAAAAGCCAGCGGCAAAGAAUAAUAGAUUCAUUCAUAACAUUUCUACAGCACAAUGGUUGAGCAGGGUUGGAUCUCUAAAAGGAAGGAGCUGACCACUAGCUGGGAUAUUGAUGGUUACCUAGGAUUGCAUAUGUAACAUAUGGGAUGAAUAAUUUUCGAAAAAAAAAAAAAAAUCAUUUUGAUUGACUCGACUGAGAACUAAUUAUCAUUAAUAGGUUUCCAACUAAUGAUGGGCCAGUGUCGAUGAUAGAUUAAAUCUUGGACUACAUAUCAUUAGCCAUCAGACUAAGACCAUUGCUAUCAAAGCUAUAUAGAAUGGUAUACAAAAUACGAGAGGUGCUUUCUAGCGACAUUCUAUCCAAUCAACUGAUUAAAGUAAUUGGUAAAGUCAUUUUUGAAUCAUUACUGAGUUGAAAUUAAAAUCUUCUGCGGUUGACAAUCCCUGUUUGGACGAUGGUAGAUUGUGUUUGUUGUCUCCGGAAAACCCAAAGCACCCUCCUGUGUAAUGCUCUUCCCUUCUCUCCACCCCCAUCCUAAUCAACCCCUCCCCUCCAUCCUCCUGUACAUUUUUUCAUCCCCUUUUAGUUUUUCUGCCUUUUUGUUUGGGUUUUAGAUGGCAGAUUUAUUAUACUCUGUAUACCUCUAUCAUCCACGCGCCUUCCCUCUAUCCUUGCUAGUAGUGCUUGUGAACUACACACGCUCAUUUUGGUCUCUUCGAAUUUGCCCUUGCUCCUCUGGUUCUUCUUUGCACAUACAAAAAAUUAUAGAUCCAAAUUCGAGCUACAAACAAUACUGUCCUUAAUGUUAUUUACCUUUCAACUCUUGAAGAGGGUUUCAUUACUAUUUGUUUUGCCCUUUGCUGGUUAUAAUUCAAGAUACAUAUGAGUGCUUUUAGCUGCACUCACAAUGAGUCGUUACAACCAGUUAUGUUAGCAACUUUUUCAUUUUCUCAA
RNA transcript from Corylus avellana, 2271 nucleotides. It is a transcript of the gene named CAX-interacting protein 4, with no coding region annotated. The record is from RefSeq and is a predicted model, not a curated record. Lineage: Eukaryota; Viridiplantae; Streptophyta; Magnoliopsida; Fagales; Betulaceae.